This is a small nuclear RNA of Pteronotus mesoamericanus, 107 nucleotides long. Lineage: Eukaryota; Metazoa; Chordata; Mammalia; Chiroptera; Mormoopidae. The record is from RefSeq and is a predicted model, not a curated record.
GUACUUGCUGUGGCAGCACAUAUAUUGAAAUUGGAACAAUAUAGAGAAGAUGAGAAUGGCUCCUGCACAAGGAUGACAUGCAGAUUGGUGAAGCAUUCUAUACUUUU